ACUCCUACGGGAGGCAGCAGUGGGGAAUAUUGCACAAUGGGGAAACCCUGAUGCAGCCAUGCCGCGUGUGUGAAGAAGGCCUUCGGUUGUAAAGCACUUCAGUAGGGAGGAAGGUAGUGUAGUUAACACCUGCACUAUUUGACGUUACCUACCAGAAGAAGCACCGGCUAACUCCGUGCCAGCAGCCGCGGUAAUACGGAGGGUGCGAGCGUUAAUCGGAAUUACUGGGCGUAAAGCGCAUGCAGGCGGCCUGUUAAGUCAGAUGUGAAAGCCCGGGGGCUUAACCUCGGAAUUGCAUUUGAAACUGGCAGGCUAGAGUCUUGUAGAGGGGGUAGAAUUUCAGGUGUAGCGGUGAAAUGCGUAGAGAUCUGAAGGAAUACCAGUGGCGAAGGCGGCCCCCUGGACAAAGACUGACGCUCAGAUGCGAAAGCUGGGGAGCGAAACAGGAUUAGAUACCCUGGUAGCACAGAGC
RNAcentral lists this ribosomal RNA (472 nucleotides) under uncultured bacterium. RNAcentral describes it as "bacterial SSU rRNA". It matches the Rfam family "Bacterial small subunit ribosomal RNA", at positions 335 to 800 of the family's 1533-position model. The record is from RNAcentral.